UGGGGAAUAUUGCACAAUGGAGGGAACUCUGAUGCAGCGACGCCGCGUGAACGAAGAAGGCUUUCGAGUCGUAAAGUUCUUUUAUAUGGGAAGAUAAUGACGGUACCAUAAGAAGAAGCCCCGGCUAACUACGUGCCAGCAGCCGCGGUAAUACGUAGGGGGCUAGCGUUGUCCGGAAUCACUGGGCGUAAAGGGUUCGCAGGCGGAAAUGCAAGUCAGGUGUAAAAGGCAGUAGCUUAACUACUGUAAGCAUUUGAAACUGCAUAUCUUGAGAAGAGUAGAGGUAAGUGGAAUUUCUAGUGUAGCGGUGAAAUGCGUAGAUAUUAAAAAGAAUACCGGUGGCGAAGGCGACUUACUGGGCUCAUUCUGACGCUGAGGAACGAAAGCGUGGGUAGCAAACAGG
Molecule: ribosomal RNA, 403 nt
Filed under: bacterium
Lineage: Bacteria
Description: partial 16S ribosomal RNA
Rfam family: Bacterial small subunit ribosomal RNA
Source: RNAcentral